CAUUUUAGUGACAACAGCAUCAGCAGAACGGAGCCAUAGGUAGUCCCUGAUGCUAUAAAAUGUUGACUUAGACAUACUUAUGUGAUACUGCAAGUUUGUGAUGGAGUUUCUAAAGUUUUUUAUGCGUAAAUAGCAGUUUGUUUUUAUCCCAAAAGGACAUAAGAAAGAAGACACUUUAGACUACUUUUUAAAAUAUGUAAAAAAAUAUGUUGAAACUUUUGGAAACUUUCAAAGAGAUUUUGUAGAGCACAAAACAGAUGCAAGCACUGUGGAAAAUAGCCCUUUUGUUGGGAAUAUCUCAUGCAAUUCUCUACAGAUACUCAGUCUAUUUCUUGUUUUCACCACCUCCUGCAAGGUCCUUUUGGUGAGAUUUAAUUUCAACAGAGAGGUACUGAAAUGCAGUGCUGAUCUUUUACACAUAGACUGCUACUCAGUGUGUAAUUCUGCAAGAAAUAGUGACAAAAAUUUUUUACUCAUUGUUUUAACACUCCAGUGUAGCAGCACUGUUAUAAAGUUACAAAGAAAAAUCAGUUUUGUUUCAAUCCAUAUACAUUGCUAUGUAAAUAUUGGUUUUGGUGAUCUGGUUUUCAUUUUGCCUUUAGGAGCUGGGAAUGAGAGAGGGAAGAGGGAAAGGUGUUUUUGAGGUCUUAGGUAGCUUCUCAUUAUUCUGCUCUGGCUUUGUUAGUAAUAAAUUCAAUUAAUAUCUCCAAGCUGAGUCUGUUUUACCAAUGAUAGUAGUUAGUGAGUUAUUUCUCCUGAUCCUAAUCUCAACUCAUGAACCUUUUGUUACAUUUUCUCUCUCCUCUUCAUUCACUGUAGCUACUUUUAUAAACAGAUAUUAAUUUUUGUUCCUUUAAUUCCCCAAAUUGACGACUGUCCUUCACAUGCAUUCCUCUUAAUUGACAGUUAGGACUGGACAUGAUGCAAAAGGCUAAGUCAACACUCACAAAGUGGGGAAUCACAUUUUCCAGGUCAUUGUGUCUUUUAUUUUCUAUAGAAGAGCCAAGACAACUACCCCCAACCAGAAGUUUGACCUUCAGUCACCAAAAUUUCAGUGAAACCCCUCCAGGCACAGCACGUAAUUUCCAUUCUUGUGGCCUUUCAGACCUUUCGUUUCAAAGUUGGUCCAUUCUUUGCAGUCUAUAAGAAUUCAGCUGUGACGAGAUUUCUUUAUAAGUUUGAGUUCCUUUGAUUGACAGUCCAGUCCAGUGGAAAUGAGUCCAAGUAAGAGCAUCGGUGAAACAGGUGAAGGUGCACAGACCAGGCAGCUGCUCUCCUGACCAGAUUGUUUUAGUGUCUGUCUGACAGAGACAUUAUUCAUGGUAGGUAGCAAUGUACACACAGCUGAAGUGCCAUUUCUGAUUUCACCUUUUCUAAGCAUUUGGUUUUGACAGUGAUAUUCAUAAGGUGAUUUUUAUGAGUUUUAGAUAUUGUGCUGGCAUGAUUUUUUCCAAGAAAUUGAUUUAUGAACAGUAUUUGAUGAAUUUUCUGUUUUUCUAAGGUUCCUUACAUCAAAAAGAAAAUAGUAUCUUCAAGCUGGCCAUAUUAAUAUUUACCUUAAGAAGAGGCCAGUUUUUAAAGAUCAUAAAAUCAACACUACAGGAUAGUCAUGAUAGAAGCAUUAUUCUGAGAAACUGGAGGCUGUCAACCAUACUAGAAGACAGCUUUGGAAGCAGAUUUUAUUCCAUGGACUACACCUGGCCACCCUUCAAGUAUAGGUGAAACCAGGAACCUGAUGAGGUCCCAUAUGGAUCUGUCUGCCUCAUUCCACCCAGCUCUUUCCUGAGGGGUUCAGAGUCCCACUGCUGCUGAGAGCAUUCCUGCUGUGACAAGCAACCACUAAGCGCUGCUGGAGUCAUGUGAGCCAGCUGGAGCUGAGCGUGACAGUGCUGUGAUGGGAAACGCUGUUGGGACGCAUUCAGCGUGGGCAGCUGCAGUGGGAGCUGCAGGUUCAGCUCCGGAUGGUGGCAGCUGAGGUGCUGACACUUUGCAGGGCCCGGGCACCUGUGGCCCAGCCAGGUGACCGGACACUCAGGGACACAGCAGGAGCAAAGGAGCCAGACUUUUGCUCCCGUUGAAUGAAGUUAAAAAAUCACAGGUUUUUCUUUUCUUGUGUUCCUGCCUCAGAGGCACCGACUCAAGCUGUUACUCAAUUAUUGCACCAAGAUUAAAGGAUAAAGAUAUUUGAGACUCCGGUAUGAGAAAUAUAGGAUUGAGCUAGCAAGGAAACCUGGUCUGACUGUGUGGCAGGUGCGUGAGUGUGGCUGCCAGAGUGUCUCUUGGAUGGUUGAAUGGGGAAGUUCCCCUAACAGCACUCAGGGCUCUGUCUUCAAGAGAUCAGUGCAGAAACCAAUUGCGUGUCUCAUGGUGGAAAGCAUCUCAUGAUGAACUUGAACUCCUGAGAGAUGAAUAGAAAUAGCCAAUAUGACAAUUCAAUUAUUUAUAUCUUACCCAAAACUUCGAGCGUAAACAAGUGACUCAUAACUUUGAGUGAGGAUCUGUGUUUAGCAUAUGUAGACCCAAAAUAUUUUUUGAAAACAAACCUUGAGUAAUUAUUUUCUUUCAAAAUAUAUUCGUAAGCCCACAUUUUUAAAUGCUGGCCUUUAUUGAAACCAUUGUACUAAGUCAUAAAUACCAAGUGGGUUACUGCCUUCCUUGUUCAGAAGAACUAGUUAUCUUCCAGGUUUGUGGCAUAGCAUGCUAGCCAAGUAAAACAGGUGAAUGCAGUAUCUUGCCAUCAUGUUUUUAUUGCUGGGGUGACAAGGAAGCCUGUGAGAGAGAUUUCCUAGAAAGGCUAGAAUUGAGAAAAGAGGAGGUUAACUUAUGGACUUUAGGGAAUACAUAAAACUGGGCUCUCUUAAUUUAGAGGGGCUUCUUUCUCAAAUAGAUAGUGACAUAGACAUCACAGGAGUAGCAGCUUCAUAACUACAGAAUAUGGGGAAGUAUUCCUCCUUCUCAUAGGCUGAACUGGCAAAUAAUGGAUGUUUGUAUGACAUGAUGAAUUCAAUGGGUAUGUUUAAUCCCUUUGGCAAAACACAACUUCCGACAAGAAACAUCCAUUAACUGCUCUUCCUACCCUCAGGUAAUUUAUUUCUGAUGUCUUUAAUUAGACUUUUAAAAAUGAACGAGUCUUAUUGUAUGACAUUUUCUGCAAAAUUCCUAUGUGAUUAGAAUUUUAUCAAAUGCUUGAAGGUACUUCCUGUUUGAAGCUUAAUCAAUAAAACAAACAAGUGGGUAUAUUAAGGGAAUGCAAAUAAAAUUAGACAAAAUUGCAUAAACAAUAAUCAAUAUGUUUCUUACAAGAGGAUCAUAAGUUUAGAUAUAAGAAAGGGUUUUGCAAAAGUUAUCAGAUGACCGUAUGAGUCAUUCAUUUAAAUAUGUGGGCUGAGAUGUGGUGGGUGACUAAGAUGUUCCUUGUUUAUGUGCUUAGGUACUUUAUUUUUGGAAUGUUCUCCUCAAGUGUUAUCUAUAUUAGAAAAAUUACUCAAAGUAGCCUCUAGUAAUGAAGUAGCUGAGAACUUCUACAUAGACAAGUAUGGUAGAGUUGAUGAUGUCAGCAUCCUGAUUGUGUCAUAUUAUUCAUUCCCCCCUCUUUUUCUAUGGAUGUGAGUUUUUUUAAAUGAUGGGAUAUUUGGUUUGAGUUUAAAAUAAAAUAGUACAUAAAACAAUCAGAAGAAGCACAACAAUAAGCAAGAAAAUACUAAACUACAAAAUGACACGAUACAAUAAAAUUAUAAACUGCAAUGCUAGCUUUUCAUUCAGUGUUUUAUGGAUGUACUGAGACUUUAUAGUGUCUCCUGCUGUUCAUAGCUCUUGGGCUAAUUAGCAGAUGCUUAAAAUCUCAAAAGAUUUGGUCCAGAAUUGCUAAUUACCUCCUCUAUAGCCCAGACUGAAGAGAGCCUGUAAAUACAAAGUAUGUGCCAUGCACCUUUCAGGCAUGCACUCCUCACUCAUAAGAAAAAUCAUGUGACGUUUUCUGAAACUCCAGUUUUUGAUUGCCUCAGGAUGCGUUGUUUUUUUUUUUUAAGAGGUUAAGAUCUAGUCACAUUCUCACCUCUGAUCUCUCACAUUUCAAGAGAAACCUGAUGAACCUGAUAGCAAGUGGUACUAACUUUUAAGCGAAUCAAAUCUUUAAAAGAAAUGCUUGACAGUCAUGGAGACAGCACCCAUGCUUAUAAUGAGCAAAGCCGCUCUCUUUUGUGUUAAAUGGUGUCCAUGUAAUGCUUAUGUGCUGUUUAACAUUAACACAUUUAAAGCUUAGAAAAACUAACCAAGCAAAGCCCCUCAUUUAUAGUAAAAGCUUCAGAAAGUCACUUCCUUAGCUAGUAGGCUGAUAUUUUGUUUGGAGAUGACUGGGAUUUUAUAAGGCUACAUUUCUGCAUUUAAAAAAAUGCAUCACAAAGCCUUGACAGCCGACUCAUCUUUGAGAAAAAAAAAUUUACUCAACCACCUACAUUUUAGGGAUGUAUCUACAAACAGGUACUUCUUUGUGAACAUAUGUAUAGCACAGGAGAAACACUGUCAUGGUUUGAAUUUCUGUGUCCAGUUUUAUGAUUUUUUUCACCUACUUUAACAACUUUGUGUAAUGAACAGAAACACCUACCUUCAGUAAAGCUAGUUAUUCUAAUACUGUUAUUAAAUAAUCAUGGCUCAUGUAAGGCUCUGAUAUAUUUUUUUAUCUUCAGUGCUUUUCAUAGAAUGAGUUAUUCUUGUUAGCUCAGCUUAACAUAACAACUGUCAAAACUGGGCCCAUGUUGCUUAAAACUCCAUUAGUCAGGGUGACUGAAACACAUAUCAAUCUAUUCUUAGUUCAGUCCCACACUAUUUAACAUCUCAAGGCCUAAAAUCUCCUAGGAGUAUACAGUGGUUGUACAUGCCAGAGGUAACAGGUCCAAAGGUCCCUUGAAGGAAAGGAUCAUAUCAGUACAAUUAGAAGCAAAUUCUGUUGAAAGCAUUUUGAAGAUUUUCCUGAAAAGGAUGUUGAACCUCUCACAGGAUCACCUCUCCAUUAGAGUUGCAUGUAGUAGUAAUACCCAAAAAAAUGGAUGUGACCUCUUUUACCAACACAGAGCUAAAAUCUCUUCUUGGCUGUGCUGCUUUCAGCUAGGACAAAGAUACUUUUCUUCAUGGGAGUUGGUAUGAGUCAAAUAUUGAAUGUGUGCUUUAGAAUAUGUGCUGUACACAGUAUUGAUAACAUGGGGGUGUUACUGCUGAGCAGUGCACAGAGUCAAGAACUUUUCUGCUUCUCACACUGUCCCACCAGCAAGGAGGCUGGGGGCGCUCAAGGAGGUAUGAUGGGACACAGCUGAGACAGCUGACCCCCACUGAUCAAAUAUAUAUUGCAUAUGAUGCAUUGGUCAGUAUAUAAAAACUGGGGAAAGAGAAGGACAGGGGAAUAUUUCCUGGAGGUUGCUGAACACCUAGCUGUCCAUCAGUGAGACAUGGUGAAUGAAUUCCUUAUUCUGUUCUGCUUGUGAAUGUAGCUUUUGCUUUACCUAUCAAUCUGUCCUUAUCUCCACCCACAAAUUUUCUUAUUUUACUCUUUCAAUUCUCUUCCCACCCCAUUCACUCUCAGGGGUGAGUGAAUGAAUACUGGUGAGGGUCUAGUUUGCCACCUUGGUUUCUUACUAUUACAUUGACCUAGCAGUUUAAUUUUGUUUGGAAACUCUUAAUGCAAAUUUUAGGACUUCAAGUGCUGUUUAAAACCAGAAAUAUUAGACUUUGCUGGUCAUGUUUUAGGAAGCAUGAGAUUAAGUGGUGAGGAAAUUCAUUUUAUUAAUCAGUAACUGACUAUUAAACUAUCAGACUAAAGAUAUGAACUAUUAACACCUUUUUCACUUUAAUAACUGUCUUUGUAUUUUUAACAUCUAAUCAUCCUAAUGAAUCUUGAAGGUGUUGCAUAGAGAUACCUCUAUUUAUUUCUUAGUAAUUUUUAUGCAUGUCUUAUCAGUAAGAUGAAACCAUUCCUGAUUGAGUUAAUUUGAUGCACUUAAAAACAUACUAGGAAUAAUAAGUAAGCAAUAUAUAAAAUCACAAACCUUAACAAGAAUUAGGUGGCAUUCUAUAGUGUAUUUUAUGUCUGGUGUUUAUCAACUGUCUCAACUUUUCUACUGCACUUAUCCUGAUAUAAAAGGAUGCUGCUUGUAAUUCGUGACACUGCUGUCUUUAUAGUUUCACUGUCACACUGAAAUAAAAUAAAUUUUGCCUGUGAUUCAGAGGCUAUAUUUUUCCAGACAAAGAUGCAUGCCAUUCAAAUGCACAGGAAUGGGUCCAAAAACUACCAUAGCUAAAGGGAACUUUCACUUAUAAGACAAAAUCUGGGGUUUUGCCAGAAAAGAGGAAUGAAAUCUCUUAUGGCUUUAGAUGCCACAUUUAAUUCACAGUUGUGUGAGUAUGAGAAAAAACCCAGUUUGACGAGAGAGAAAAGUUGAGAAACUAUAUGUCCAUUCAUUAGUAUCUUCCUUAUUGACACUUUGCUAUAGUGUCUGCAUAUAUAAGCAUUUUCUGAGAACUCCAAAUGUUAUAUGUUUGUUCAAUCAUGGUUUCUAUCACAGCUGUAGUAGUAUUGAAUAAGAUCAUAGGUUUUGUACAAGGAAAGUGCUAAUUUAGAUACUAAGGGAUGUUAAAUCCCUUAUCACUUAGAAAGAAAAAACAGAUUUUCUGUGACCAGAAAAGCUGUAACUUCUCUAGUCACUACUUUGCUUGAUGGAUUUAUUUCAUAUAUGUUAGGUUAAACACAACUUAGGUUGUGUUUAAAUGUUCAGUAUUUAAAAAAAAAUUUUAACUUACUUUGACUUUUUGGAGUAUAUUUAGCAGACAUUAAAUGUCCAGAAAAAUGAAAACAACCAUCAAAAUAGGUGCUUGAAAUGAACAGUAUAUAUUUACUAUCAGCAUUUAGGAUUCUGCUUGCUCAGAAUUUGCUUAUAUGGAAAAUUUAAACAUUAAGCAAGAUAAAUUAUGUCAAAAUAAAUCUGUCAUUCUGUCAUGCUGUUUUCUUGUUUGAAUUGUUGUUGUACAGUGUCAGUCAUCAAUGUGAAAGAUGUGAAAAUUUAUGGAUCAAAAAAUGUUCUAUGAAAUCUAGUUAUUCAGCUAGCAGGCAUAUUUCUUUGUGUUUUGUAAUUUAAAUACAAAAUUGUGUGUGACCCGUGUCACAAUUCAGUGCAUUGAUCAAUGCAUAAUGAAGACUACUGAAAAUGUGGACUGAGUAACAAGCAGCAGCAGAGAUUGAAACUGCAGCUAGUAAGUCAGAAAAUAUUUGAAUGUUUCUUCCUAGCUUACAAUGUUUUGAAGCAGAAAUAAAAUUUCUUUACUAUUCACAUAUAUAUAAACAAAGUCUCUGAGAAAGGACAGACUUGAAACAGACACAAAUGUUAGAAAUUAAGGCACUGCAUUCCUUGAAACUCUUUACAUUAACAGUUGUUUUUUUUUUUUCUGUCCUUUGUCUACUCAUGUUUUAUUAUUUAAUGCAUUUUUCAUUACAACAAAUAGAUGGCAUCAAAACUUACAUCAGACUUUCUUCAGAAAUGUAUACAAAAAUCUUUGAAUGGAUUUAAAAUGGAAGGGAAGGGAGAGUAACGUGGAAAGUACUAAGACCAAUGUAAAAGCAAAAUAUGAAAAUACAUUCAUGAAAAUGUAAAGAGUAAAGUGACACCGUUUGUGACUAUCUUAAGAUUUGAGGUCUCUUUUGAAAGAUAAGCACUUCAAGGAAGGAUCAUUCUGUAAUUUUGAUCUAGCUAAACUGAACUAAUUAAUUGCAACUGAGCCGCAGAAAACCCUUUUUUUUAAAUUAUUUUUUUAUUUGCUCUCUAGUCAAACUCCCACAGAGCUUCUCUUUUUUUUUUUUUUUUUUUUUUUUUUUUAAGAGGAAAUGAAUAAAAGUCUAACUAACUUAUAUGUUUCUUUCUCUCCCUGCUAGAAUAAGAAUAGAAAAUGAACAAACACCUGUUACAGCCACAAGAAUCUGGCCGUACUAAGCCUAACAGGUUCCCUAAAGGGAUGUUUAUGAAAGCAGGAGAUUAUCAGGGUAUCAGUAGCAGACCAUAAAGGGUAGCAAAAUCAGGAAAUGAAGGCAGGGUAAUCAACAUACCUGUGAAGAAUAUGAGCUUAAGAGACAUAAGAAGAAAUGGGGCAAAGAAGACCCUGGAUUAACUCUGAGGGACUGACCCAAGGGAACCACAGAGUUCAAAGCACUUGUAGGCAACAUGCAUUUAGUAGCAAGAAGUUUAAGGAGAUAUGUUGGGCAAUGGCAGAAGACCAGAAAAAGAGACUGAGUAGAACUUUCUCUCCCAUACAUAACUGGAAACAUUCAAGUCAGUGUCAAACCAGAAGCAGACUUCAUUCUUUUUGUGCAGUUACCACAUGAGGAAAACAAGUUUGGUCACAACUAUCUUUUGGACUCAUCGCUGGGACUUUACAGUUGUACACACAAUUUCUUAGAUUGUCACCUUGUACGUGCUUUCCUACAUGGGGUCUUUUCAGUCUUCAAAUGAGAUCCUGGCCUGUGUCAGGAAUAGUGUGGCCAGCAGGACAAGGGCAGAGAUUCUUCCCUGAUACUCUACACUGGUGAAGCCGCACCUUGAGUGCUGUGUCCAGUGCUGGGCUCCUCCAUUCAGGAAGGACAUUGAGGUGCUGGAGUGUGUCCAGAGAAGGGCGAUGGAGCUGGUGAAGGGUCUGGAGCACAAGUCCUGUGAGGAGCAGUUGAGGGAGCUGUGGUUGUUCAGCUCAGAGAAGAGGAGGCUCAGGGAGACCUGGUCACUCUCUACAACUGCCUGAAAGGAGGGAGUAGCCAGGUGGGGAUCAGUCUCUUCUCCCAGACAGCCAAUGACAGGAUGAGAGGACACAAUCUUAACCUGUGCCAGAUGAGGUUUAAUUUGGACAUUAGGAAGAAGUUCUUCACAGAAAAUGUGAUUAGAUAUUGGAAUGCACUACCAGGGAGGUAGUGGAAUCCAGGAGGUAUUUAAAGAAAGAAGAAAGACGGGAUGUGGCACUCAGUGUCAUGCCCUAAUUGACAUGGUGUUGUUUGGUUGUAGUUUGGACUUAAUGAUCUCAGAGGCCUUUUCCAACCUCAUUGAUUCAGUGAUUUUGUGAUAAAAGAGUUUCUUAAUGUCUUCUUGUCUGAACAAAAUUUAAUAAAUCCCUUAAAAUCUGGAACCCCAGGUCUGGAAAAUAGGGUGAUUAUUAAUAUCUUCAAACUUGUAACUGUGGCAAUAAGGGACAUUUCCCAGUAGGCACAUUCUAAAUCCUUAGGUAACGAUGAGUAAUUUACUUUUAUACAAAAUGUACUAUUACAUUUCCUGUGAUAUGUCUUUUCUAUCAUUUUACUUUGUGUCUUAAUGAAAAUUGAACUUGGAUUUCUUCCAUCCAAA
Molecule: non-coding RNA, 9365 nt
Organism: Taeniopygia guttata (zebra finch)
Lineage: Eukaryota; Metazoa; Chordata; Aves; Passeriformes; Estrildidae
Source: RefSeq, a predicted model, not a curated record